AGUGCUCAGCCUUCGAACAAAUAGUGUGACACAAAUAGAUGGCAAAUCGACCUCCACGCCUCUUUUUCUCGAUGACAAAUGCCGAAACACUUCAGUGAACCAGGUUGAGUUUGGCACUAUGUCAAAGAGAAAGGGAGAUUAACGGGUCGUGUUUAUGCGUGGAAGAAGCUUUCAGGGGUUGUUUAGGUGGUGGAGCAGCGGUGAUGCCAUGACAGUGGGGGUGGUUGCCGGUGGUGGUGAGGCGUUUUCAGGUCAACGCCAACAUAGGAUGAUAGAUAAUGUGGAUCUCUACAUGUUUAUGUAAGUAUUGUAUGAAGGAGAGGCCUAAAACUCGAUGAAUUUACAAAAUGAAGUAAGCUAGGGUUUCGGUUUUUAGUUUAUUCAUGGAGUUUGGGAGGUAUUCAAGGGAUUUGGUUGGGAUAGGCAGAAAGAAGGAGGAAGAAAGGAGGAGAUAAAAAAUUUUGGGUUGAUUAAAGGUGCGCCGCCGCCGUGAGGUAAUUUCUUGCUAGCGAUGCCAGUGUGGACAGGGGGCAGCGGUAGAUGGGAAAGGGAGAAAGAAGAAAGGCUCUAGGGUUUGGAUUU
RNAcentral lists this long non-coding RNA (582 nucleotides) under Nicotiana benthamiana. Its description in RNAcentral is "long non-coding RNA (NBEN_LNC025733)". The record is from RNAcentral. Lineage: Eukaryota; Viridiplantae; Streptophyta; Magnoliopsida; Solanales; Solanaceae.